AGUGAACGCUGGCGGUAGGCCUAACACAUGCCAGUCGAACGGCAGCACAGUAAGAGCUUGCUCUUACGGGUGGCGAGUGGCGGACGGGUGAGGAAUACAUCGGAAUCUACUUUUUCGUGGGGGAUAACGUAGGGACACUUACGCUAAUACCGCAUACGACCUACGGGUGAAAGCAGGGGAUCUUCGGACCUUGCGUGAUUGAAUGAGCCGAUGUCGGAUUAGCUAGUUGGCGGGGUAAAGGCCCACCAAGGCGACGAUCCGUAGCUGGUCUGAGAGGAUGAUCAGCCACACUGGAACUGAGACACGGUCCAGACUCCUACGGGAGGCAGCAGUGGGGAAUAUUGGACAAUGGGCGCAAGCCUGAUCCAGCCAUACCGCGUGGGUGAAGAAGGCCUUCGGGUUGUAAAGCCCUUUUGUUGGGAAAGAAAAGCAGCAGGUUAAUACCCCGCUGUUCUGACGGUACCCAAAGAAUAAGCACCGGCUAACUUCGUG
RNAcentral lists this ribosomal RNA (492 nucleotides) under uncultured bacterium. Its description in RNAcentral is "partial 16S ribosomal RNA". It matches the Rfam family "Bacterial small subunit ribosomal RNA", at positions 29 to 507 of the family's 1533-position model. The record is from RNAcentral.